AGCUCCAAUAGCGUAUAUUAAAGUUGCUGCAGUUAAAAAGCUCGUAGUUGCAUUUCCGAGGCAAGGGAUUAGUCCGACCUUUGGUGGGUAUUUAAUCCUCUUGCCUCGUCCUUGAGUGGUGCUUCUUGGUAUUAAGUUAUCGAGGAGAUAGCCGCUCAUCGUUUACUGUGAGAAAAUUAGAGUGUUCAAAGCAGGCUUAUGCCGUUGAAUAUAUUAGCAUGGAAUAAUAAGAUAGGACCUCGGUACUAUUUUGUUGGUUUGAGAACCAAGGUAAUGAUGAAUAUGGACAGUUGGGAGUAUUCGUAUUCAGUUGUCAGAGGUGAAAUUCUUAGAUUUACGGAAGACGAACUACUGCGAAAGCAUUUACCAAGGAUCUUUUCA
Molecule: ribosomal RNA, 381 nt
Filed under: uncultured marine Chaetocerotaceae
Lineage: Eukaryota; Bacillariophyta; Thalassiosirophyceae; Chaetocerotales; Chaetocerotaceae
Description: SSU rRNA
Rfam family: Eukaryotic small subunit ribosomal RNA
Source: RNAcentral